Cannabis sativa is the source of this 853-nucleotide long non-coding RNA. RefSeq lists it as uncharacterized. NCBI's taxonomy places the organism in Eukaryota, Viridiplantae, Streptophyta, Magnoliopsida, Rosales, Cannabaceae. The transcript is spliced from 3 exons. The record is from RefSeq and is a predicted model, not a curated record.
GUGUCUUCUAUGCAAGGGUGGAGGGCAUCCAUGAAAUGGAAGAUGCUGGAAAGCAGUAUCUUUACCAAUAGGUGCUUGAUCAAGCAUGAAGAUUGGCUGGAGAUAUAGCCUUUACUUUAUUUAAAGACUUCUAAGAGUGAAUGAGAUGAUGCGUGACCAAAGGGGUAAAGAGAAUUGGCAAUCUUAGGUGAUAAUUUGGACAAGAUUUUUGGUGUGAUAAAAGGGUUAACAUGGUCUCCUAGAGAAAUUAUGUUGAAGAUUGGCUUCUGAAGAGAUAUUUUUCAGUUCACAUAUAUGCUUGUUGCACUUUACUUUCAAGCCUUUUGCAAUAUCAGUAUAUACAUGUAUAAAGUCAUGUUUUUGCUAUGCUUUACAUGCUCAAUAGAGAAAGGUAUCGAAAUGUUUUUUUAUGAGACUGGACAACUAGAAUGGUUAAGAUCACUUUGGUUGCUUUGCAUAUUUUAUUUUACUAUUUAUAAUUUACAUGUUUCAGUUUUCUAUUUUCUUCUUUCAUUAUAGUGUUAAAUUAUUACAAGUUUGAUAUUUUUAUAUCGUUUUCUCUAUCAAUAAAGAUUGAAUUCACACACUUUAUACUGAUACUUAACUAUGGCGACAAUCCCAAAAGAAUAUCUUAGGAAGCACAUUAGUACUUCACAUAUUAUUGUGAAGUUAAUCAAUUUUAAAUCAUCAAGUAACUAACAUAAAGUUUGAUUUAAUUUUUAUUCUGCAGUUUCAUGGUAUUAUUAAAUAUACAAUAAAUGAAAUCAACACUGUAGUAAAGAAUGGAUUAAUUACUACUUAACUGAGUAUAUGUCAACAUCAUAAUAGCUUAGGUUUCGGUUUUGCUGGAAUG